RNAcentral lists this transfer RNA (73 nucleotides) under Myxococcales bacterium. RNAcentral's name for it is "tRNA-Ala". It matches the Rfam family "tRNA". Rfam says of the family: Transfer RNA (tRNA) molecules are approximately 80 nucleotides in length. Lineage: Bacteria; Pseudomonadati; Myxococcota; Myxococcia; Myxococcales. The record is from RNAcentral.
GGGGGCGUAGCUCAGUUGGGAGAGCGUCGCGUUCGCAAUGCGAAUGUCAUCGGUUCGAUCCCGUUCGCCUCCA